Molecule: RNA transcript, 1437 nt
Organism: Pipistrellus kuhlii (Kuhl's pipistrelle)
Lineage: Eukaryota; Metazoa; Chordata; Mammalia; Chiroptera; Vespertilionidae
Gene: HDAC8
Gene name: histone deacetylase 8
Exons: 5
Source: RefSeq, a predicted model, not a curated record
CGGCAUGCUCUGAAGCUCAUCUGACCUCAUCUCAAAUGGCCCUAUAGGGCCACAAGGAUGGUCAGUUUAUUCCGCGCUUAUUUGUGCCCUAAAGCAUCAAUCCUAAUUGGCAGUUAUCUGGGCUUCUAUAUCUGCCUCCUGCCAACCUUUUUGAACCGUGGUCACUAAAUGAAGAGGUUCUGGCCUAGGAAGGCCCAUGCAUUCCUUCAAUUGGAUAGAGAGCCAAGAUAGUGACUCUAGAGAUCUUGAGAAUAAGAGGGAAUGUUGACUAGGGAGCACCGCGGCUGCGGAACAGAGGAGCUGGAACUGGAGCCUGGGCUGAGUCUGAAAAAAGCCGGAUCCGGAUGGUGGCCCCGGAACAGCUGGAAGUGGAAGAUGGAGGAGCCCCGGGAACCUGCGGACAGUGGGCAUUCCCUGCCCCCAGUUUACAUCUAUAGUCCCGAGUAUGUCAGCAUGUGUGAUUCCCUGGCCAAAGUCCCCAAACGGAAUAGUUAAACCCAAAGUGGCCUUCAUAGGGGAGGUGGCCACCUUCUAUACCGAUGCCUAUCUGCAGCAUCUCCAGAAGGUCAGCCAAGAAGAAGAAGAUCAUCCAGACUCCAUGGGUUAUGACUGUCCAGCUACAGAAGGGAUAUUUUGACAACGCAGCAUCUGUGGGAGGGGCUACAAUCACAGCUGCCCAAUGCCUGAUUAAUGGAAUGUGCAAAGUAGCAAUUAACUGGUCUGGAGGGCGGCAUCAUACAAAGAAGCUCGCAGAACCCUUGGCUGUGCUGGCGUGGCUCAAGUGGUGCCCAAGAAGGUGCUGAGUUCAGCCCAAGUGGCACUCAAUGCGGACCUGAGUGUGAGGGAACUCAGUUGUCAGGUGAAAGGAGGCCUCAAUGCGUGCGCAUGCAAAGGAGCAGCACAGCCAAUUUGGGUGCCAGAGAGUUACAUGUGUCACCACCAUGGACCCAGAAAAGCUCCUUCUCCCAUCGUUCAAAAGACUGAGAGUUGCCCCGAUGACAGCAAAGUGGAAAAGGAAGAUGAUGAAGGCUAUACAAAAGACUGAGGUGCCAACAUGGGGUCAGCUGAAGAAGUUAACAAAUGAGGCCCAGCAGAUGGCAGAAAAGCAAGAAGUGGAAGCUACUCCCUCAACCAUGUUUCUGGCCAUGCUAGCAUUGGUUAGCUGCCAGUCUUCUGCAAAGUCUUCUGCAGCCAAGUCCAAGGACUCUUGAGUAAAUCAGCAAAAGAAACUUUCAUUUAGAAGGAAAAUGUUACUGUAGUUUGGUGUCUCUAUUGUAGUGUUGCAUUGGCAUUGUUUUAUUAAGAACCACGUCUGGGUUUUGUAUUUGCAUUGUUUUGUUUUUGGGUUUUGCAUUGGCAUUAUUUUGUUAGUGUUUUAAUAGUCAGAACUUUGUUCUUGAUGUUUAAGUUUUACUUCCAUUAUUAGUAGCUUAAAAU